RNAcentral lists this ribosomal RNA (534 nucleotides) under Alcaligenes faecalis. Its description in RNAcentral is "bacterial SSU rRNA". It matches the Rfam family "Bacterial small subunit ribosomal RNA", at positions 56 to 541 of the family's 1533-position model. The record is from RNAcentral. Lineage: Bacteria; Pseudomonadati; Pseudomonadota; Betaproteobacteria; Burkholderiales; Alcaligenaceae.
UGCAGUCGAACGGCAGCGCGAGAGAGCUUGCUCGCUUGGCGGCGAGUGGCGGACGGGUGAGUAAUAUAUCGGAACGUGGCCAGGAGCGGGGGAUAACUACUCGACAGAUUGGCUAAUACCGCAUACGCCCUACGGGGGAAAGGGGGGGAUCGCAAGACCUCUCACUAUUGGAUGGGCCGAUAUCGGAUUAGCUAGUUGGUGGGGUAAAGGCUCACCAAGGCAACGAUCCGUAACUGGUUUGAGAGGACGACCAGCCACACUGGUGACUGACACACGGCCCAAACUCCUACGGGAGGCAACAGUGGGGAAUUUUGGACAAUGGGGGAAACCCUGAUCCAGCCAUCCCGCGGUGUAUGAUGAAGGCCUUCGGGUUGUAAAGUUACUUUUGGCAGAGAAUACUAGGUAUCCCCUAAUACGGGGAUACUGACUGACGGCGAUCUGACAGAAUAACGCACCGAUCUAACGUACGUGCCACGCAGCGCGCGAUUAUGUACGGUAGGCGUGCAGAGCAGUUCAAUACGUGUAAUUGACUCG